RNA transcript from Brassica napus (rape), 1380 nucleotides. It is a transcript of the gene named ras-related protein RABE1c, with no coding region annotated. NCBI's taxonomy places the organism in Eukaryota, Viridiplantae, Streptophyta, Magnoliopsida, Brassicales, Brassicaceae. The transcript is spliced from 5 exons. The record is from RefSeq and is a predicted model, not a curated record.
UAAACUCUGCUUUUCACGAACAGCCAGACCAGCCGUAAAUUUUUUUAGGGUUUGGCGUUCUUCUUCCACAAUGAAUCCAAGAGUCUUUUUCUUCUUCGAUCUCUGCAAGGCGGUGUCUAUAUUCCUCUAAAAUCACUAAUUCAUCGAUCUUUUUUUUAGAAUAGAAGUCAGCCCUAUGUUUUUCAACCGUGGAGGUGAGAUUCAAACGCGGUGGAAAGACUUUCCGUCACCGGCUGAUCCGGAAAUCAAGUGAUUGAAUCAAGAGCAGAGACAGAUGGGUUUGGGUUUGAUCUUGGACUCAACGAAGGAUGAUGAACCAGAUCCAUAUACUCGCGGAUAUGGUGGGUACUUAGUCUCGGACCCGAUAUGCUUCUUUUUAAAGAUCACUUUCUCCUCAAUUUUGUUCGUUUAUGUCCUCAACUUCUAUAAAGCUUUAUUACCGAGGGGCAAUUGGCAUUUUGCUGGUGUAUGAUGUAACAGACGAGUAAUCCUUUAACAGUAACUUUUGCUUCUGUCUAAGCAUAACAUCUUUGAUUUUUACAUUUUUGCUCUGUUCUGGACCUGUUUUCUUGACCUUAUUGCAGAUAUUAGGAACUGGAUUCGUAAUAUCGAACAGCACGCUUCGGAAAAUGUCAACAAGAUCUUGGUAGGGAACAAAGCCGAUAUGGACGAGAGCAAGAGGGCUGUUCCAACAUCAAAGGGUCAAGCACUUGCUGAUGAAUAUGGAAUCAAGUUCUUUGAAACAAGUGCCAAAACAAAUUUAAAUGUGGAAGAGGUUUUCUUCUCGAUAGCAAAGGACAUUAAGCAGAGACUCACAGAUACUGACUCGAGAGCAGAGGAUGAAAAGAAGUGUAACCGGCAGUUUUUGUGACAUGCUCUUCGUAGCACCGUCAGACAGGAGCUAAGGUUCAUAAUUUAAAAUAAACAAAACUUUCUCAUAUUUUUUUACUUCAUAGUGGAUGAGUAUUAAGUUAGCUGGUAAGUUUUAUUUUAUACUUGCAACUCUUAUAUUCUCCCCAAUCUGUUUCAUGAUGCUCUUGGAACUGCUUGCAGUGAUGGUAUGUAGGGUUACUUGACUCCAUGUUCAGGGGAGACUCGCCUGCCUAUAUUCAAACCCCCCAAUGGAGGGUCUGGAGGACAUCUUGACCAACCAAGUCAUGUGAGAUCACUGACCUAGAUCACAGGUUUCUUCUAAUGGAAAGAAUGUACUCAACUCAUCGAAUGAUACUUUGAAGAUAUAAGAAAAACAACAUCUAAUAGUGUACUUGAAGAUCAUAAUACUCCGGAGAAGAUGUUAUUUCUUAUGUUUAUAUUUUAUUUUUUCUGACAUUAUAUAUUACAUUACAAUUCUUUAGAUCAAUCUAUUGAACCAUUACUUUA